UACGUAGGGGGCGAGCGUUGUCCGGAUUUAUUGGGCGUAAAAGGCUUGUAGGUGGCCACGGCAAGUCGGAUGUGAAAUCUCCCGGCUCAACUGGGAGGGGUCAUUCGAUACUGCCGGGCUCGAGGCCGGUAGGGGGAAGCGGAAUUCCCGGUGUAGUGGCGGAAUGCGUAGAUAUCGGGAGGAACACCAGAGGCGAAGGCGGCUUCCUGGACCGGUCCUGACACUGAGGAGCGAAAGCGUGGGGAGCGAUCCGG
This 254-nucleotide ribosomal RNA is filed under the name uncultured bacterium. RNAcentral's name for it is "partial 16S ribosomal RNA". It matches the Rfam family "Bacterial small subunit ribosomal RNA", at positions 524 to 776 of the family's 1533-position model. The record is from RNAcentral.